RNAcentral lists this transfer RNA (82 nucleotides) under Graphiurus kelleni (savanna dormouse). RNAcentral describes it as "tRNA-Thr". Lineage: Eukaryota; Metazoa; Chordata; Mammalia; Rodentia; Gliridae. The record is from RNAcentral.
GCCCUAGUAGUAUAAAUAUUACCUUGGUCUUGUAAACCAAAAAUGAAAAACCUAUUUUCCUAGAGCAUCAAGGAAUAGAGCA